This 465-nucleotide ribosomal RNA is filed under the name uncultured bacterium. RNAcentral describes it as "partial 16S ribosomal RNA". It matches the Rfam family "Bacterial small subunit ribosomal RNA", at positions 28 to 507 of the family's 1533-position model. The record is from RNAcentral.
GAUGAACGCUGGCGGCGUGCUUAACACAUGCAAGUCGAACGGAAAGGCUCCUGCUUGCAGGGGUACUCGAGUGGCGAACGGGUGAGUAACACGUGGGUGAUCUGCCCUGCACUUCGGGAUAAGCCCGGGAAACUGGGUCUAAUACCGGAUAGGACGUCGGUUUGCAUGCCAUUGUGGAAAGUUUUUCGGUGUGGGGUGAGCUCGCGGCCUAUCAGCUUGUUGGUGGGGUAGUGGCUUACCAAGGCGUCGACGGGUAGCCGGCCUGAGAGGGUGUACGGCCACAUUGGGACUGAGAUACGGCCCAGACUCCUACGGGAGGCAGCAGUGGGGAAUAUUGCACAAUGGGCGGAAGCCUGAUGCAGCGACGCCGCGUGGGGGAUGACGGCCUUCGGGUUGUAAACUGCUUUCGCCUGGGACGAAGCGCGAGUGACGGUACCGGGAGAAGAAGCACCGGCUAACUACGUG